GCACGCCCUAGAGCCCCAAUCAAAAUUGCACCACAAACCUUACAAUCAAAUCCACCUUCAUGCCCCAUAUGAGAAACAAUCCAUAUAGCUACCAACCAUUGUAACCCAUCUCUCCCCCUCCCAUAAGCUACACCUUGAUCUGACAUAUCUCAUAAUUAUGAUUAUAGGGAAUUUGACUUUUCAAAGACCCCCUUACAGACGACGAUAUAUAAACUGACUAAACAAAAAAGGGUAAUAUCAACGUGGAACAUCGAUUACGGGACAAGUUCCUCUGAAAGGACUAAGGCGCCGCCAAAUCCUUUGGGUUUUAAGAAAACAACAAAUACUACCCACAAUACAUUUUACCACAAA
RNAcentral lists this ribosomal RNA (351 nucleotides) under Lepidospora sp. Biologic-ZYGE016. RNAcentral describes it as "partial small subunit ribosomal RNA". Lineage: Eukaryota; Metazoa; Arthropoda; Insecta; Zygentoma; Nicoletiidae. The record is from RNAcentral.